CCACGUCAGCAGCCGCGUCAGCAGCCACGUCAGCAGUCCCGGCCAACCAGGGCCUGACACGUGGCAAGAUCGCGUCACUCCGAAAGGAGCCACGUUGGCGAUCCGCGUGGGUGCGAUCCGACGGCCCAGAUCAAUCACGCGAUCGGACGGCCCAGAUUCAAUCGCACGGACGGCCCAGAUUCAAUCAAAAACGAACGGCCCAGAUUAAAACAAAAUGAACGGCUGUGAUCAAAAGGCAAGGGGUUAUAAAUAGAACCCCCACACCAGACCACAAACCCUAGCCGCCAGCCGCUCGCCGGAGAAGACGAACCAGAGGCCGACCGCCGCCACCCGCCGCCGCUCGCCGCCGCACCGGGGAAAUUUCCGACCGCCGAUCGAGGUAAAUUUCAUACCCCCGACUCGUUUUUCCCCACUGAUUCCUCCUAUGGCCAAAUCGAAACCGAAAUCCCGGCCAAACGGCCGGAAUACGCGGCCGAAGCCCAGCGGCGCCGCCGCGCCCCCUCUCGGUUUUUGCCUCCGACGAGGCCCUUCCCGGCCUCCGUUCGAUGCAAUUUUUAUAUCACCGUGAUCACCAUUCUUUUCUCUACAGGUUGACCGGAGCCGAAUCACCAAAACACGAACCUCGCCGGAGAGCCGCUGCACCCGAGAGCGCCGCCACCGGUAAGCUCCGUUUUUCCGUGAUUUUUUGGCCCCCCGAGGGCCCUAGGGUUGUUUUCUGACAAGGACCAAUGCGAGUGUGGCCGAAUUCGGCCGAAAACGGCCGAAAACAGUCAACCCGAGGUGACUCGCCGCCGCCAGCGGCGGCGCCGUCGCCGGAGCACGGCGGAGCCGCCGUGCCGGAGUUGCGAUUUGGGCCGAAAGAGGCCCUGGGCCUAAUUUGGAUUUUUUUUGGAACACGUGCAGGUACGGUUAGUGUGUUUCAGUUUCCCGGGAAAAAUUCAGGGAAAAUUAGGGACGGCCUGCAGGCGCACUGUGAAUCGUAUUCAGAUCCCGAAAACAAGUAAGGACCCCUCACCCUAUUUCCUAUCACGGUAUUAAAGUUCAAAAUGAUAAAAUGGUAUUUCUUGAAUUAACGCAUGUGUGAAAUUGCUUAAGGUUGCUAAUGGAGCCCGAGUCUAGUGUGAUUGAUGAUUUACUGUUAUUUGGUCUGUUUUACACUGUUUUACAGCUUUAAAUGCAUUAUGGGGUUUGAUGUGUUCAUUUUACAGAUUUGUGUGCAUAUACUACGUUUUUAUUAAUUAUGGGUUGAAUGACUGAAAAACUGAUAUUGUAUGUUGUCUGUUGGUAUGAAUUACGAUUUGCUUGUUUAAAUGUGAAUUGAUGAUGUUGAUUGAGGAAAAGGAAAAUGAAAGAUUGUAUAGACUGAUAAUUGUAUUAUGGGGGUCAGCCUGACUAGAUAUCCUGGGAGAUGGUGGACGGACCGGGUCCGUAGGGAACCCUACCGGGAUUGUGGUCUCACAUGCCGGACGGGGUAUGGAGAUCUUAUGGUUUUGGCGCCCAUACCGGACGGGGUAUGGGGACGGCCCGUUUCACCCUCAUACCGGACGGGGUAUUGAGGUUUAUGGUUUUGGCGCCCAUACCGGACGGGGUAUGAGGACGGCCCGUUUCACCCUCAUACCGGACGGGGUAUUGAGGUUCAUGGUUUUGGCGCCCAUACCGGACGGGGUAUGGGGACGGCCCUGGAAACUGAUUAUGAAUGUUAAAGGUUAACGGGUAGCGGAACCCCUAUGGACCCCCACGGAUACUAGUAGGCUGGUAAAUGAGAAAAAGGGAUAUGUUGUACAAUGAUUGAAUUACAAGAGGCGUGAUAAGUGUUAUGUUUUACAGCUUAGAUUAUUAAAUGAUUAUGAUGAUGUUAUUGUUUUUCUCAUAUUGUUUUCAUAAAUUCCACCAAGGUAAGUGGAUGGUAAAGGUUUUCAUGUUAAUAAACGAGUUUAUUGUAAAUUGUGCUCCAUUGGUCUUUUUGUGGUUUUCUACCCACCUUUAUUUCCGUGACGGUGAGAUAUCGUGAUGUUCUUACUGGGCUAGUGUAGCUCACUCCUUAAUUAACCAUUUCAGAUCAGGAAGACAUGGUUCCCGAGCCCGUUCCGCAGGAGGACGACGAAGGGGAUGCCUAGAGACUCUGUAGACAUACGCAUAGUCUUAUUUUCGAGUUCCUCUCUUAGUUAGUUUAACCUUUUAUAUUUUAAGUACGUUUGUUUGGUUUUUCGUGUAAGGGAUGUUAAUUGAAAUUUUGAUCUCGCUUCCGCAUUUGAUAUAUUUAAAUACUCAUUUCAUUUUAAUAUUUCCGGGGUCGUUACAAGUGCCAUUUGGAGUAAUAAAUAUAAUAUUUUUUUGAUGAGUGCUAUUGAG
This 2352-nucleotide long non-coding RNA is filed under the name Carica papaya (papaya). Its description in RNAcentral is "long non-coding RNA (CPAP_LNC006947)". The record is from RNAcentral. Lineage: Eukaryota; Viridiplantae; Streptophyta; Magnoliopsida; Brassicales; Caricaceae.